Sander lucioperca (pikeperch) is the source of this 170-nucleotide long non-coding RNA. RefSeq lists it as uncharacterized. The transcript has 4 exons. The record is from RefSeq and is a predicted model, not a curated record. NCBI's taxonomy places the organism in Eukaryota, Metazoa, Chordata, Actinopteri, Perciformes, Percidae.
CAUAACCCUGGGCUGUCGUUCCUCAGCCCACAGUCAGUGUUCUUUACUUAGUCUUUACUCCGAGACAAUACAGCCAAGUCUCUGUGGGUAGAGGGAUGAUACAAUUCUGGUUUUCUUCACCCUAAAAAUUUACUGUCACGUUAUCAAGAUGACUUUAAUAUCAAACAAAC